GAGUUUAGGUUAAACAAACCAAGGGCCUUCAAAGCCCUAAACAGGCGGCCUGCCCCCUAAC
Molecule: transfer RNA, 61 nt
Filed under: Cyrtodactylus zebraicus
Lineage: Eukaryota; Metazoa; Chordata; Lepidosauria; Squamata; Gekkonidae
Description: tRNA-Trp
Source: RNAcentral